UCCGGUUGAUCCUGCCGGACCUGACUGCUAUCGGAUUGGUACUAAGCCAUGCGAGUCAUUGUAGCAAUACAAGGCGGACGGCUCAGUAACACGUAGUCAACCUAACUCGUGGACGUGGAUAACCUUGGGAAACUGAGAAUAAACCACGAUAGAUCAUAAUGCCUGGAAUGGCUUAUGGUCCAAACAGUUUACUGCCAUGGGAUGGGACUGCGGCCUAUCAGCUUGUUGGUGAGGUAAUGGCCCACCAAGGCGAUUACAGGUACGGGCUCUGAGAGGAGAAGCCCGGAGAUGGGUACUGAGACACGGACCCAGGCCCUAUGGGGCGCAGCAGGCGAGAAACCUUAGCAAUGUGCGAAAGCACGACUGGGUCAGUCCGAGUGAUUCCUGAUAAAGGAGUCUUUUGCUUGUCCUAAAAGCACAGGUGAAUAAGGGGUGGGCAAGUCUGGUGUCAGCCGCCGCGGUAAUACCAGCACCUCGAGUGGUCAGGACGUUUAUUGGGCCUAAAGCAUCCGUAGCCGGCUUUGCAAGUCUUCGGUUAAAUCCACCUGCUCAACAGAUGGGCUGCUGGAGAUACUACAGAGCUAGGGAGUGGGAGAGGCAGACGGUAUUCAGUGGGUAGGGGUAAAAUCCUCUGAUCCAUUGAGGACCACCAGUGGCGAAGGCGGUCUGCCAGAACACGUUCGACGGUGAGGGAUGAAAGCUGGGGGAGCAAACCGGAUUAGAUACCCGGGUAGUCCCAGCUGUAAACGAUGCAAACUCGGUGAUGCAUUGGCUUAUGGCCAAUGCAGUGCCGCAGGGAAGCCGUUAAGUUUGCCGCCUGGGAAGUACGGACGCAAGUCUGAAACUUAAAGGAAUUGGCGGGGGAGCACCACAAGGGGUGAAGCCUGCGGUUCAAUUGGAGUCAACGCCAGGAAUCUUACCCGGGGAGACAGCAGAAUGAAGGUCAAGCUGAAGACUUUACCAGACAAGCUGAGAGGAGGUGCAUGGCC
This 989-nucleotide ribosomal RNA is filed under the name uncultured archaeon. RNAcentral describes it as "bacterial SSU rRNA". It matches the Rfam family "Archaeal small subunit ribosomal RNA", at positions 1 to 999 of the family's 1478-position model. The record is from RNAcentral.